CUACGGGGCGCUCCAGUGAGGAAUAUUGCACAAUGGGGGGAACCCUGAUGCAGCAACGUCGCGUGGAGGAUGACGCAUUUCGGUGUGUCAACUCCUUUUAUAUGUCAAGAAAAUGACGGUAGCAUAUGAAUAAGCACCGGCUAACUCCGUGCCAGCAGCCGCGGUAAUACGGAGGGUGCAAGCGUUACUCGGAAUCACUGGGCGUAAAGGACGCGUAGGCGGGUUGGAAAGUCAGGUGUGAAAUCCUACAGCUUAACUGUAGAACUGCACUUGAAACUUCUAAUCUAGAGUAUGGGAGGGGGAGAUGGAAUUAGUGGUGUAGGGGUAAAAUCCGUAGAUAUCACUAGGAAUACCUAAAGCGAAGGCGAUCUCCUGGAACAUUACUGACGCUAAGGCGUGAAAGCGUGGGGAGCAAACAGGAUUAGAUACCCUAGUAGUC
RNAcentral lists this ribosomal RNA (439 nucleotides) under uncultured bacterium. RNAcentral describes it as "partial 16S ribosomal RNA". It matches the Rfam family "Bacterial small subunit ribosomal RNA", at positions 339 to 795 of the family's 1533-position model. The record is from RNAcentral.